GUAAAGGGAUCUCUGCCAGGCCCGCUCUGAAGAGAUGCUCAGAUCUCCCAAGCUCUGUUACGUCAGGCAGAUUUGCGUGCCAUGCAAAGGUACCUAACAUGCCAUAUGUUUCUGACGCCUCUACUAAAGCAUUGUACAGUAGUUUUAACAGUCUAUCACUUGUGACUUGACGGGGAGAAAUAAGGCGCAGCUCCGCUACCCAAGAUUUCAAUGUAAGUGCCUUAGUCACACGGUGACC
Pelobates cultripes (western spadefoot toad) is the source of this 238-nucleotide non-coding RNA. NCBI's taxonomy places the organism in Eukaryota, Metazoa, Chordata, Amphibia, Anura, Pelobatidae. The record is from the annotation of a GenBank genome assembly.